This is a small nuclear RNA of Delphinapterus leucas (beluga whale), 107 nucleotides long. NCBI's taxonomy places the organism in Eukaryota, Metazoa, Chordata, Mammalia, Artiodactyla, Monodontidae. The record is from Ensembl.
GUGCUUGCUUCGGCAGCACAUAUACUAAAAUUGGAACGAUGCAGAGAAGAUUAGCGUGGCCCCUGCGCAAGGAUGAACCACAAAUUCGUGAAGCGUUCCACAUUUUU